RNAcentral lists this long non-coding RNA (223 nucleotides) under Elaeis guineensis (African oil palm). RNAcentral's name for it is "long non-coding RNA (EGUI_LNC003132)". Lineage: Eukaryota; Viridiplantae; Streptophyta; Magnoliopsida; Arecales; Arecaceae. The record is from RNAcentral.
GCUCUGAUAAAGUGCAUUUAAACUUUACCUCUUUUUAGCUUUGAUAGGACAAUGGCUUUGAAAUUUCUACAAAUUAGAGCUAAUACUUAUGCUACAAAUUGUAAUUAUAGCUUUGAGUCUAUUAGCUUUGCUACAAUCCUAAAAUUUUCUUCUCUUAUACUCUAUUAAAUUCACCUGAUUAUCAAAUACUUUUAUUUAGUUGAUGAUGACAAAAAGGGGGAAA